RNAcentral lists this long non-coding RNA (635 nucleotides) under Mytilus galloprovincialis (Mediterranean mussel). Lineage: Eukaryota; Metazoa; Mollusca; Bivalvia; Mytilida; Mytilidae. The record is from RNAcentral.
UCUAUUUUGUCAUCAGUAACAACAUAUUAAAAUUAGGGAAGCUUUGGUAGAACAGUUAAUUAGAAAAUGCACGGACACGACUGGAAACUCCAUUUUUCAAUCUUUCAAGAACCAUAACUCCUGAACGGUAAAAGUCAAAAUCGUCAUUUUUGAACUAGACCUCCAUUUUGUCAUCAGUAACAACAUAUUAAAAUUUGGGAAGCUUUGGUAGAACAGUUCAUGCAUAAAUGCACAGACACGACUGGAAACUCCAUUUUUCAAUCUUUCAAGAACCAUAACUCCUGAACGGUAAAAGUCAAAAUCGCCAUUAUUGAACUUGACCUUCAUUUAGUUGUCAGUAACAACAUAUUAAAAUUUUAAAAGCUUUGGUUGAACGGUUCAUGAGUUAAUGCACGGACAACAUUUGAUUGCCGCCCGCAUGACUGACCGUCCGCACGCCGUACAUCCCCAAUUCAAUAACCGACAUUUUUGUCACAAAAAUCCAGUUAAAAACAAUUUGUGUUUAUCUUUGAAAACAAAAAAGUUAUGUCUUUCUUUCAAAAGGGAAAAUACGACCACAAAUCCGAAUUUUGAGCAAAUAUACAAAAUUUCCACCUCUUUUUACUCAAAAAGUAGCACAUGAAGGUAUAUUUUUU